CCUACGGGUGACAGCAGUGAGGAAUAUUGGUCAAUGGACGAGAGUCUGAACCAGCCAAGUAGCGUGAAGGAUGACUGCCCUAUGGGUUGUAAACUUCUUUUAUAUGGGAAUAAAACGUUCCACGUGUGGGAUUUUGUAUGUACCAUAUGAAUAAGGAUCGGCUAACUCCGUGCCAGCAGCCGCGGUAAUACGGAGGAUCCGAGCGUUAUCCGGAUUUAUUGGGUUUAAAGGGAGCGUAGGUGGAUUGUUAAGUCAGUUGUGAAAGUUUGCGGCUCAACCGUAAAAUUGCAGUUGAAACUGGCAGUCUUGAGUACAGUAGAGGUGGGCGGAAUUCGUGGUGUAGCGGUGAAAUGCUUAGAUAUCACGAAGAACUCCGAUUGCGAAGGCAGUUCACUGGACUGCAACUGACACUGAGGCUCGAAAGUGUGGGUAUCAAACAGGAUUAGAUACCCCUGAGUC
This 459-nucleotide ribosomal RNA is filed under the name uncultured bacterium. Its description in RNAcentral is "partial 16S ribosomal RNA". It matches the Rfam family "Bacterial small subunit ribosomal RNA", at positions 338 to 795 of the family's 1533-position model. The record is from RNAcentral.